GUGGGGAAUAUUGCACAAUGGGGGGAACCCUGAUGCAGCGACGCCGCGUGGGUGAAGGAGUACUUCGGUACGUAAAGCCCUAUCAGCAGGAAAGAAAAUGACGGUACCUGACUAAGAAGCCCCGGCUAACUACGUGCCAGCAGCCGCGGUAAUACGUAGGGGGCAAGCGUUAUCCGGAUUUACUGGGUGUAAAGGGAGCGUAGACGGCAGUGCAAGUCCGGAGUGAAAGCCCGGGGCUCAACCCUGGGACUGCUCUGGAAACUGUAAAGCUGGAGUGCGGGAGGGGCAGGCGGAAUUCCUGGUGUAGCGGUGAAAUGCGUAGAUAUCAGGAGGAACACCGGCGGCGAAGGCGGCCUGCUGGACCGUAACUGACGUUGAGGCUCGAAAGCGUGGGGAGCAAACAGGAUUAGAAACCCUAGUAGUCC
Molecule: ribosomal RNA, 425 nt
Filed under: uncultured bacterium
Lineage: Bacteria
Description: bacterial SSU rRNA
Rfam family: Bacterial small subunit ribosomal RNA
Source: RNAcentral